This is a non-coding RNA of Caerostris darwini, 79 nucleotides long. The record is from the annotation of a GenBank genome assembly. Lineage: Eukaryota; Metazoa; Arthropoda; Arachnida; Araneae; Araneidae.
AUUAGAACACCGAAGUCAAGCAUCAUUGGGCGCGGUCAGUACUUGGGUGGGUGACCACCUCGGAACACCACGCGCCGUU